Molecule: non-coding RNA, 122 nt
Organism: Mycena capillaripes
Lineage: Eukaryota; Fungi; Basidiomycota; Agaricomycetes; Agaricales; Mycenaceae
Source: the annotation of a GenBank genome assembly
GGUUGGAUGGCCGAGUGGUCUAAGGCGCCAGAUUCAGGACCCGCACCUCAUUGGUGCAUAUCAUGUGUAGCUUACACAUUCUGGUCUUUAAUUAGGCGUGGGUUCGAAUCCCACUCCAAUCA